This 230-nucleotide ribosomal RNA is filed under the name uncultured bacterium. Its description in RNAcentral is "partial 16S ribosomal RNA". It matches the Rfam family "Bacterial small subunit ribosomal RNA", at positions 29 to 253 of the family's 1533-position model. The record is from RNAcentral.
AGUGAACGCUGGCGGUAGGCCUAACACAUGCAAGUCGAACGGCAGCACGAGAGAGCUUGCUCUCUUGGUGGCGAGUGGCGGACGGGUGAGGAAUGCAUCGGAAUCUGCCUAUUUGUGGGGGAUAACGUAGGGAAACCUACGCUAAUACCGCAUACGUCCUACGGGAGAAAGCGGGGGGAUCUUCGGACCUCGCGCAGAUAGAUGAGCCGAUGCCGGAUUAGCUAGUUGGG